Molecule: non-coding RNA, 642 nt
Organism: Camellia sinensis
Lineage: Eukaryota; Viridiplantae; Streptophyta; Magnoliopsida; Ericales; Theaceae
Source: RefSeq, a predicted model, not a curated record
CUCAGCUUCAAUUCAAAUCGAUCGUUGAAGAUCCGGCUUCAAUCGGAAGAUAUAUAUAAGUUUGAGUAAAUCGAUUUGGUUUCUAACAGAGAUCACAGUAAUUUGGAUUCAAUAACGAUUUGAGAAGAAGUCCUAGAGGAAGCAAAGUUACUGGCAUUUUUUGGAAUCUCUAUAUCCUAUCUCUAAACAGGUCAUAAAUUUUUUGUCUUCCUUUAUAUUCAAUUGAAGUAAAUUGUCCAUGUAGACGCAAUACACUCUUGCCUCAACUUGCUACUUGGAUGAUGUGUACUUUGCAUGAAUUGUGUGCGAAUAUUAGAUGUUUGGAUGUAUAUGUGGAUUUUUGUUUCAGUAUAUCUGAUAUUCUGAUAUUGCAUGAUUAUAAAAUUUCAUGUUAGUAUAUCUGUGAUUUCUUUUGUCUGCUGUGUGAAUAAUGUCUGCUUUCUAUCGAAUAGGUUUUUUCCAAUGUAAAUCCAACUGUCCUGGACCAAUUGAGGUCUGUUGACUGCAUUAUUUAUGCUAUGGGAUCCCUUUUUACAUCCAUUUGCCCAUCUUUGGUAACACUAUCAACCGAACUGUAACUUUUUUAGGACAACUUUUGCAAUUAUUAGUAGUUCUCUAUUUUUUUAUUUUUAGUAGGUAAGG